GGGAAUAACAGUGAGAAAUCAUUGCUAAUACCACAUAAGCUGAUAAUAUCGCAUGAUAUAGUCAGAAAAGGAGCAAUCCGCUAAUAGAUGGGCUCGCGUCUGAUUAGCUAGUUGGUGGGGCAACGGCCUACCAAGGCGACGAUCAGUAGCCGGACUGAGAGGUUGAACGGCCACAUUGGGACUGAGAUACGGCCCAGACUCCUACGGGAGGCAGCAGUCGGGAAUAUUGCGCAAUGGAGGAAACUCUGACGCAGUGACGCCGCGUAUGGGAAGAAGGUUUUCGGAUUGUAAACCAUUGUCGUUAGGGAAGAAGAAGUGACAGUACCUAAGGAGGAAGCUCCGGCUAACUAUGUGCCAGCAGCCGCGGUAAUACAUAGGGAGCGAGCGUUAUCCGGAUUUAUUGGGUGUAAAGGGUGCGUAGACGGGAAUACAAGUUGGUUGUGAAAUCUCUCGGCUCAACCGAGGAACUGCAACCAAAACUAUAUUUCUUGAGUGCUGGAGAGGAAAGUGGAAUUCCUAGUGUAGCGGUGAAAUGCGUAGAUAUUAGGAGGAACACCAGUGGCGAAGGCGACUUUCUGGACAGUAACUGACGUUGAGGCACGAAAGUGUGGGGAGCAAACAGGAUUAGAUACCCUGGUAGUCCACACCGUAAACGAUGGA
This 660-nucleotide ribosomal RNA is filed under the name uncultured bacterium. Its description in RNAcentral is "bacterial SSU rRNA". It matches the Rfam family "Bacterial small subunit ribosomal RNA", at positions 139 to 813 of the family's 1533-position model. The record is from RNAcentral.